Molecule: long non-coding RNA, 799 nt
Filed under: Homo sapiens (human)
Lineage: Eukaryota; Metazoa; Chordata; Mammalia; Primates; Hominidae
Description: testis expressed 41
Source: RNAcentral
GCUGUAUCGAUUGUUGAGAUCUGGCGACUUGUUUAAAUUUCAUCAGCCUCACUUCUAUGAACUCUCAGGCCUCACGUGUACCAGCUCUCUGCUCUCCUUUGCCUUGGGACGUUCCAUCCCUGGAAGUUUCCCUGCCCACAUCUUUGUAGAGAGUCCAUUCUCCAAGCUUCAGUGUGUCAUCUGUGAGGACCGUGACCCACCUGGUACAUCGCCUCAGGGCAUUCAUUUCAGGCUCCUUCUAAAUGGCCAAGUCUUCUGCCAGCCUAACAAGCAUAGCAAGAAGAUAUAGCCCCACAACCACUUUAUGCACAAAGUUAGAAGCAUAAAAUCUCAUGGAAGGAGACCGAUUAUCUACAGAAGAGGUUGUCUUGCCAUUUCUCUCAUGUUAGAGGUAAACCUCAGGUUCUCCUCCUGCCUUUUGCUAAGUAUAUGUCUUGAUGACAAGCCUUCUGCUGAUGAGCUGUGUUUCUGGACCGAUCAUGGUAGAAGUCAAUUAACGUGUCCCUCACUUGGGGUUUCUCAAGGUCAUCUAUGAACUGACUCUGUCUCAAAAAAAAAAAGAAAAAAAAGAAAAGAAAGAAUGAAAAAAAAAACUAGGACAUGGCUAACAGGAAUGGGGACAAAGAAUCUGCACUGAUGAGGAAACUGAAACAGAAAAUCCAGAGUAAAUUCCACCAGGCCACACAGCAAGGUCUGAUAGAGCCAGGAGAGACUUUAUGAAAUCCAGACUCUCACACUAAUGCUCUAUCAGCUAGACCUCCAUGUGAGUCUCCCCAAUGUAGGUAGGAAGUGCUUUCCC